RNAcentral lists this long non-coding RNA (1155 nucleotides) under Scleropages formosus (Asian bonytongue). RNAcentral's name for it is "lncRNA (ENSSFOG00015032289.1)". Lineage: Eukaryota; Metazoa; Chordata; Actinopteri; Osteoglossiformes; Osteoglossidae. The record is from RNAcentral.
UGUCCUUUAAAUAAUUCAUUUGCUUCAUGUUCCCAUGACGCUUCUCAGUGUGGGACGGUGAAUGCCGAACCCCCCCUUCCAUGCCACCCUGGUUUGUGAAAACGAGCCAACUUUCCAAGGUCCUUCAGUGUCUUUGAUCCGCGGCCCUGGACUUCAGCUCAUGUGAUUGUGGCGAAACCUUUUCUCCCUCCCCAGGCCCAGUCCGUAAUGAACAAAUUCACUGCGUAUUACUCUGGACUUGAUCUCUAGCAAAACAGCGCUGGACCAAACAAUUUGGUUUGUCAACACCUUUCCUGCGACUCUUCAAUCAAUGUCGCCAGUCCAAAUUUAAACAGCAAAGUACAUUUGACUGCAGAACCCCAGACUGAUUACACUUCCUCGUUCAGCGAAUUGCUCCAGACAGGACAGCAAUCUGAUUACUAACUCAGCUUGAAAAUACUCUCCGCAGCCUGAGAUUAACAUGAAUAUUUUGAUAUAGAUCGAUAAGCAAUCUCCACUCUAUAAGAAAUGCCAACAGCAUUCAUUUGGCUGAUCAAAGGGAUAUCAGCUGGUAGCGACAGCUAGCUAUUGUUUUCUGCCUCCAUGGCGAACACAGUUUCAUAGGAUGAGGCCAUGGACGCGGGUUCCACUUCACCCGACUGUGGAAGCAAUCACCGCUUCACACGAUCCCAUCUUCCAGGACAGGCCUGAAUCCAAUUAGGCUGACAGUGGACCGACCCACGAGUGGGCCUUCUAUUAACCGUUACUGCUUUGGCCCCAGACUGCAGGGAAGAUGUGGAGCUGCUGCUGCACAGGAAUCUCACUCCAGGAGACACAUAUCUGCGCCCAGAGCUGCCAGUGAAGACAAACAUAUUUAGCCUGGCAAUUAUGAUAAUUGCUGGAAUGCACACAUGGGAAAAUGAACAAAGCCGAUUAGGGCCCUCCUACAUGAUCAAAUUUUAAUCUGAUGUCUUCACCCUAACCUGGCUUGAACAUAAGAGGCUUCUUAUAGUCUUAUGCAUUAGCAGAUUUGCACCGGCUGAACUCAUAGCACCUAAUAAUAUUGGACAUACGGGGCAGUGCCAUAGGGAGACCUUCCACAAACCGAAUCCUAUUACUAUAAAUACAAUGAAAAUAGCUGGAGACAAUAAAGGACAGUCUUUAUCUGGUAGUACA